This 497-nucleotide ribosomal RNA is filed under the name uncultured bacterium. Its description in RNAcentral is "partial 16S ribosomal RNA". It matches the Rfam family "Bacterial small subunit ribosomal RNA", at positions 28 to 507 of the family's 1533-position model. The record is from RNAcentral.
GACGAACGCUGGCGGCGUGCCUAAUACAUGCAAGUUGAGCGAUGAAGAUUGGUGCUUGCACCAAUUUGAAGAGCAGCGAACGGGUGAGUAACGCGUGGGGAAUCUGCCUUUGAGCGGGGGACAACAUUUGGAAACGAAUGCUAAUACCGCAUAACAACUUUAAACAUAAGUUUAAAGUUUGAAAGAUGCAAUUGCAUCACUCAAAGAUGAUCCCGCGUUGUAUUAGCUAGUUGGUGAGGUAAAGGCUCACCAAGGCGAUGAUACAUAGCCGACCUGAGAGGGUGAUCGGCCACAUUGGGACUGAGACACGGCCCAAACUCCUACGGGAGGCAGCAGUAGGGAAUCUUCGGCAAUGGACGAAAGUCUGACCGAGCAACGCCGCGUGAGUGAAGAAGGUUUUCGGAUCGUAAAACUCUGUUGGUAGAGAAGAACGUUGGUGAGAGUGGAAAGCUCAUCAAGUGACGGUAACUACCCAGAAAGGGACGGCUAACUACGUG